RNAcentral lists this ribosomal RNA (404 nucleotides) under Heterospilus sp. ASDOR438-10. Its description in RNAcentral is "partial 28S ribosomal RNA". Lineage: Eukaryota; Metazoa; Arthropoda; Insecta; Hymenoptera; Braconidae. The record is from RNAcentral.
GGGGUAAACCUGAGAAACCCAAAAGAUCGAAUGGAGAGAUUCAUCGUCAGCUCAUUUUGUAUAUGUAUGAGUUAUGAUGCGNNAGUUACUCUUNNGUAGUAUUGCUNUGCACGUACUUUUAUAUUUAUUGGCAAGAUGUUGUCGGCGUGCACUUCUCCCCUAGUAGAACAUCGCGACCCAUUGGACGUUGAUCUACGACCCGAGNUGGUAGACUUUAAUAUUNNUUGNNUAAUGUUGAAGGCCCUCGGUGGNNNUCUGAUCGGCUGUCCGACGGUACUCGUACGGUAUUUAGCCGCAANUUUNNNNUUUGCGUUCAUGUCCAUCGCAAGCAAGGCUAAUUUCUGAUAGUNGCGGACUUAGUGCCGUCGUUGGGAUUGGUCAGCUGUUGGUUGUNAUGGAAAUUU